AACGAACGCUGGCGGCAUGCCUAACACAUGCAAGUCGAACGAGACCUUCGGGUCUUGUGGCGCACGGGUGCGUAACGCGUGGGAACCUGCCCUUAGGUUCGGAAUACCUCCCCGAAGGGGGUGCUCAUACCGGAUAAUGUCUUCGGACCAAAGAUUUAUCGCCUUUGGAUGGGCCCGCGUUAGAUUAGCUAGUUGGUAGGGUAAAAGCCUACCAAGGCGACGAUCCAGAGCUGGUCUGAGAGGAUGAUCAGCCACACUGGGACUGAGACACGGACCAGACUCCUACGGGAGGCAGCAGUGGGGAAUAUUGGACAAUGGGCGAAAGCCUGAUCCAGCAAUGCCGCGGAAGAGAUGAAGGCCGUAGGGUUGUAAAGCUCUUUUACCCGGGAUGAUAAUGACAGUACCGGGAGAAUAAGCUCCGGCUAACUCCGUG
Molecule: ribosomal RNA, 433 nt
Filed under: uncultured bacterium
Lineage: Bacteria
Description: partial 16S ribosomal RNA
Rfam family: Bacterial small subunit ribosomal RNA
Source: RNAcentral